CCUACGGGAGGCAGCAGUGGGGGAUAUUGCACAAUGGGGGGAACCCUGAUGCAGCGACGCCGCGUGAGCGAAGAAGUACCUCGGUAUGUAAAGCUCUAUCAGCAGGGAAGAAAAUGACGGUACCUGACUAAGAAGCCCCGGCUAAAUACGUGCCAGCAGCCGCGGUAAUACGUAGGGGGCAAGCGUUAUCCGGAUUUACUGGGUGUAAAGGGGGCGCAGGCGGCCUGCCAAGCCAGGUGUGAAAACCCGGGGCCCAACCCCGGGCCUGCAUUGGAAACUGGCUGGCUGGAGUGCAGGAGGGGCAGGCGGAAUUCCUAGUGUAGCGGUGAAAUGCGUAGAUAUUAGGAGGAACACCGGUGGCGAAGGCGGCCUGCUGGACGAUGACUGACGCUGAGGCUCGAAAGCGUGGGGAGCAAACAGGAUUAGAUACCCUGGUAGUC
Molecule: ribosomal RNA, 440 nt
Filed under: uncultured bacterium
Lineage: Bacteria
Description: partial 16S ribosomal RNA
Rfam family: Bacterial small subunit ribosomal RNA
Source: RNAcentral